Aegilops tauschii subsp. strangulata is the source of this 194-nucleotide non-coding RNA. The record is from RefSeq and is a predicted model, not a curated record. NCBI's taxonomy places the organism in Eukaryota, Viridiplantae, Streptophyta, Magnoliopsida, Poales, Poaceae.
UUUCCUUAUGAGCUGUAGACAUGCAAAUGGAUGUUAGGGAUAUGAGUAAAUUCUCUGACGAAUCAUUUGAUUGCGCCAUUGAUAAAGGUACUUUGGACUCUUUGAUGUGUGGUGUGGAGGCUCCUCUCAGCGCAGCUCAGAUGGUCCUGGAAGUGGACAGGCUACUUAAACCAGGGGGAGUCUUUAUGCUGGUA